RNAcentral lists this ribosomal RNA (111 nucleotides) under Jaculus jaculus (lesser Egyptian jerboa). Lineage: Eukaryota; Metazoa; Chordata; Mammalia; Rodentia; Dipodidae. The record is from RNAcentral.
GUCUAUGGCUAUGCCACCCUGAAUGUGUCAAUCUUGUCUGGUCUCGGAAGCUAAGCAGGGCCAGGCCUGGUUAGUAUUCGGAUAGGGAGAAAAAGGGAGAGAAUAAAGGAG